UUUCCGUAGGUGAACCUGCGGAAGGAUCAUUACAGAGUUCAUGCCCGAAAGGGUAGACCUCCCACCCUUGUGUAUUACUACUUUGUUGCUUUGGCGGGCCGUUAGGCUCCGGCCCGACUACCGGCCCCGGCUGGUAAGCGCCCGCCAGAGGACCCAAAACCCUGAAUAUUAGUGUCGUCUGAGUACUAUAUAAUAGUUAAAACUCUCAACAACGGAUCUCUUGGUUCUG
RNAcentral lists this unclassified non-coding RNA (229 nucleotides) under plant metagenome. RNAcentral describes it as "partial contains small subunit ribosomal RNA, internal transcribed spacer 1, and 5.8S ribosomal RNA". The record is from RNAcentral.